Molecule: transfer RNA, 73 nt
Filed under: Felis catus (domestic cat)
Lineage: Eukaryota; Metazoa; Chordata; Mammalia; Carnivora; Felidae
Rfam family: tRNA
About the family: Transfer RNA (tRNA) molecules are approximately 80 nucleotides in length.
Source: Rfam by way of RNAcentral
GCCUGGCUGGCUCAGUCGGUAGAGCACGCGGCUCUUGGUCUCGGGGUCGUGAGUUCGAGCCCCACGCAGGGCG